Long non-coding RNA from Glycine soja, 625 nucleotides. RefSeq lists it as uncharacterized. The transcript has 2 exons. Lineage: Eukaryota; Viridiplantae; Streptophyta; Magnoliopsida; Fabales; Fabaceae. The record is from RefSeq and is a predicted model, not a curated record.
CACAUUAGUAACUUUAUAAGUAGAACUAUGAUUGAUUUUUACUGAGAAUUAUGGUCUUUCCCACCAUUCUGGGGUUGGUUUCAUGAGUUUUCCAGCCACUGAAGCCAACCAAUUCCUUUCUACUAACUACCCUAAUAAAUGGCAGGCGAGAAAGGCAAAAGGAGGGGUUGGGGGUGGAAGCCUUAACAUGUUCGAGCAACUUUGUGUGCUUCAGCUUAUAAAUGAAUGUAUGGUCCAACACUGUGCAUGAAUCAUCUUCUUCAAAUCCCAAAAUAUGAUGGGUUCUGCACCAGCACAGCAGCAGAUGUCAUACUAUGAUCAUGUUCAGACACGCCGUGAGGAGAAGGGAAGCUUCUAUGCUUGUUUGUAUACACUCUGUUGCUGCUUUUGCUGCUAUGAGAGUUGUGAGUGCUGCUUGGAACGCACCUGUUGUUGCUGUCCGUAGAUUGCCCAAUUUCCAAGAGACAUUUGUCAAGUUUAUGUUUCAUCAUUACUGUUGUAUGAAAUGAUGAUUUUGGAAGCCAAUAAGGAAUAGUCUUCAUGUACCAUGUGCUUCAAUUAAUUUUAAUUUUUGUGAUAUUGUUCCAAGAACAAAUGAAUUCGUUAUGCCUGUUAAAUAAAUCAA